UUUGUCAAUGGACACGCCCACUCUACAUGGACACGCCCCUUUGUUAAUGGACACGCCCCUUUUGUCAAUGGACACGCCCACUUUACAUGGACACGCCCCUUCUAUCAAUGGACACACCCACUCUACAUGGACACGCCCACUCUACAUGGACACGCCCCUUUGUUAAUGGACACGCCCCUUUGUAAAUGGACACGCCCCUUUUGUCAAUGGACACGCCCACUUUACAUGGACACGCCCCUUUCUGUCAUUGGACGCGCCCCCUUUGUCAAUGGACACGCCCCUUUUGUCAAUGGACACGCCCCUUUUGUCAAUGGACACGCCCCUUUGUCAAUGGACACGCCCCUUUUGUCAUUGGACACGCCCACUCUACAUGGACACGCCCCUUUCUGUCCUUGGACACGCCCCUUUUGUCAUUGGACACGCCCCUUCUGCCAUUGGACACGCCCCUUUGUCAAUGGACACGCUCAAUUUGCAUAGACACACCCACCUGACUUACAUGGACGUGCCCAUUUGCAUAGACACGCCCCUUUGCCAAUGGUCACGCCCAAUUUGCAUAGACACGCCCCCGACACUCCCAAUUAGCAUGGACACGCCGCCAGGCUCAAAUGGACACUCCUAAUUUGCAUAGACACGCCCCUGACAUGCCCAAUUUGCAUAGACACGCCCCCAGACUCACCUAGACAUCCCAAUUUGCAUAGACACGCCCUCAACACUCCCAAUUUGCAUAGACACGCUCAGAACACUCCUAAUUUGCAUAGACACGCCCCAAUCUCACCUGGACACUCCUCAUUUGCAUAGACACGCCCCCAGACUUACCUGGACAUCCCAAUUUGCAUAGACACGUCCAAUUUGCAUAGGCACACACCCAGACUCACCUGGACAGGCCUAAUUUGCAUAGACAGUCCCAAUUUGCAUAGACACGCCCUUGAAACUCCCAAUUUGCAUAGACACCCCCCCCAGGCUCACCUGGCCAGGCCUCAUUUGCAUGGCCACGCCCCUUUCCUCAUCGAUUGGUGCUGCGGGCCGGGCCCCGCCCCUUCCCGACGCCGAUUGGCCGACGGCAGCGGGUUAUGCAAAUGAGGCGGAGGGGCGUGGCUUCUCUUUUUUUCCGUGUAAAUUUUGGGGUUUUUGGGGUCGUUUUUUUGGGGGAAUUUCGGGGAUUUUUGGGGCUUUUCCCGCAGGCCGGGAGGGGGGGGAGGGGCCGAGCGCAGGCCCCGCCCCCGGGGGGGGGGAGGGGCGCGAAUAAUUAAUUAAUUGUGGUUAAUUAAUAAAGGAGAGAACGAAACUGGCUCGGUUGGUUCU
Molecule: long non-coding RNA, 1302 nt
Filed under: Lonchura striata (white-rumped munia)
Lineage: Eukaryota; Metazoa; Chordata; Aves; Passeriformes; Estrildidae
Description: domestica (Bengalese finch) lncRNA (ENSLSDG00000003043.1)
Source: RNAcentral